GCAUUUUUUCUUUGUUAGGUGUCAUGGUACUUUAGUUUGGUUUUGUUUUCAUUUUUAAAAGAAUGGAUCUUAUCUAGAGCUAGCCUUUUUAAAACAAGGCCAGGAGCUAGAGAAAGGGUGUGGAAAUCUAUUUGUAGCUUUCUAAGAGCAUAACCCUAAACUUUCAGAAAGAGUAGCCUUCUGCCAGCCCAUGCUGUUGAAAAAUCCAACAGAGCUCCACAGCCUUUCUCACUCCGGGAGACAAGCUAGCCCCUCCUGCUGAGAGGUAUUUGCAUCUCCAUGUAAAUGUUCAUCAGUGUCAUCAAAAGCCUAGGAGACUUUAAUCACAUGAACAUGAAUUCAAUUGAUCAGGUUUUCUGCCUGUCAUGUUUUAAGUUUGUGGAGUACCAGGAGGCUGAGUCUCAUCUUCCAUGACUCCGAGUACAACCAGACCUACAUUCAUCUGCAUAAAAGUAGCUGUCAGCUACACAAGGAGGUCAAAACAAGAGAGGGAAUUGCUGGACAAAGGCAAGGAGCCAUGGGAAGUCACAUGUCAAAGCCAAAGGUGAUGAAUGGAAACCUCAAAGCCUCACAGUGAUAAGGCCAGUAUCCCUUGUCAUCAUGGUCACUGUGUUCUACAAGCAGAGACUGCUCCAAGACCAUCAGAACUUGAACAUU
This 657-nucleotide long non-coding RNA is filed under the name Mus caroli (Ryukyu mouse). Its description in RNAcentral is "lncRNA (MGP_CAROLIEiJ_G0004702.1)". Lineage: Eukaryota; Metazoa; Chordata; Mammalia; Rodentia; Muridae. The record is from RNAcentral.